Long non-coding RNA from Daucus carota subsp. sativus, 498 nucleotides. RefSeq lists it as uncharacterized. NCBI's taxonomy places the organism in Eukaryota, Viridiplantae, Streptophyta, Magnoliopsida, Apiales, Apiaceae. The transcript has 2 exons. The record is from RefSeq and is a predicted model, not a curated record.
CCAAUAAUGCCUUGGACACUUGAAGUAAAUGUAAUGCCAUGUAUAUUCUCUCAAGUGCAAAAAUGGUGCUUCUAAAAAGGCUCUGUCUCCUCUUCUUCCUCGUAGUUAUCUCCGCAUCACUUCUGUCAACUGCAUACACAGAUGCAGGUCAAGGACUGCCCAAGUAUGUAGACUUUGAGAAGAAGAAGUCUGUUGAGGCACAUACAAAUGAUCAGACAAGAAUCAGCAUCCAUAAGAGGCUUCUUAGAGUUAAGACAAAUGAUUACGGAAGCUAUGAUCCUGCGCCAACAUUUCACAAGCCCAAAUUCAAGCAAAUUCCAAACUGAUCUUCGCAACAGCACAAAUUCCAAAUCAUCUUCGCUUGAGCACAAUAAAGUAAUGAAUCGCUCGUAAAUAAUUUUCAAUUUCCAUGCAGUGUAUAUGUAAGUAAACAUGCUAUCUCGACGUUGCAAUCGUGGAUUUAUAUGCAAUACAUAAUUUUCAUAUAGGUUUAAGUUU